This 404-nucleotide ribosomal RNA is filed under the name uncultured bacterium. RNAcentral describes it as "bacterial SSU rRNA". It matches the Rfam family "Bacterial small subunit ribosomal RNA", at positions 355 to 776 of the family's 1533-position model. The record is from RNAcentral.
UGGGGAAUAUUGGACAAUGGGCGCAAGCCUGAUCCAGCCAUGCCGCGUGAGUGAUGAAGGCCUUAGGGUUGUAAAGCUCUUUUACCUGGGAAGAUAAUGACUGUACCAGGAGAAUAAGCCCCGGCUAACUUCGUGCCAGCAGCCGCGGUAAUACGAAGGGGGCUAGCGUUGUUCGGAAUCACUGGGCGUAAAGCGCACGUAGGCGGAUUGUUAAGUCGGGGGUGAAAUCCUGAGGCCCAACCUCAGAACUGCCUUCGAUACUGGCAAUCUCGAGUCCGGAAGAGGUUGGUGGAACAGCUAGUGUAGAGGUGAAAUUCGUAGAUAUUAGCUAGAACACCAGUGGCGAAGGCGGCCAACUGGUCCGGUACUGACGCUGAGGUGCGAAAGCGUGGGGAGCAAACAGG